This is a long non-coding RNA of Antechinus flavipes (yellow-footed antechinus), 2819 nucleotides long. RefSeq lists it as uncharacterized. NCBI's taxonomy places the organism in Eukaryota, Metazoa, Chordata, Mammalia, Dasyuromorphia, Dasyuridae. The record is from RefSeq and is a predicted model, not a curated record. The transcript is spliced from 3 exons.
UGCACUUGCUCACCUUCCAUAAACCAGACAAAGGAUAAGAUGAUGAGGCUGUUCCUGCUGGGUCUCUUUCUUCUCUGCUUCUUAGGGGAUGGAAGUACGAGUUUCUUAGCAUUUUGGGAAAAGAAAGAAGUCCAGUGUGCUGUCUGCGACAUAUAUAAUCAUGGCAUCUGUCUGAAGGGUGAGGGUACCUGUAUUACAAAGUCAAGCAGAGGAUGCAGAAGCCAGCUAUUCUAUAUGUACUCUAAUGAUGGAAAUGGAUGGACAUAUUCUUAUGCUAAACUGGAAUGUUCUUCCAAGUGCCAACGUCCUAUAAUCAAAAGUUCCUUGAUGUAUGAAGUGAUCCGCUGCUGUGGAAAACCUUUAUGCAACAAACGUUUUUCACUUAUUCAAUAGAAGUGGGACCUUGUCCCAUCUCACUAUUAUCACCAUCUGUUAUCCUCUUCUUCUCCUGCCACACAGACCUCCCUGGCUGUCCCUAGUCCCGUUUCCCCCUUAGGUCCUUGACUGGCUGUUUAAUUGGAGAACAAAUAUACACAGAUUAAGCUAAAACUUCACCAUCUGAAAUUUUUGUACCUUCUUUAUGUUACCCUUUUUAAAAAAUUUACAAGUAAAAUUUUCUUUAAGCUCGCCUCAUUUCAAUGGAACAAAGAUAACAAUGAUUUUCAUUCAGGCCCAGGCUGGGCCAGAAAAGCUGAGGAUCAUCAGUAUUCCACAGGGGCCAGGCAGGGACUGGUAGCAUAAGAAGAGAGGGGUGAGUAUGAUAUCACUCUAAAAAGCAAAGGUAAAAAGAAUAAUUAUGUUACACAAAUGAGGUGAAAGAGCUAGAAAUGACAGAGGAAUUACAUGGGACAUGAGGACUGGAAUCCUACUCAGAUUGGGAAUAGAUGAAAGAAGGAACAAUACACAUAUAUCUAGAAAGGCAUAAAAAUCUCCUAAAUUCAUAAAGAAAUGAGGGAAGGAGAAAGAAUGGGGGUUAAUGGAAAGGUAUGUUCAUAAUGGGAAGGGGAUAAAGAUGAAGGGAAAGCUAAGAAGAGAGCUUUGGAGGCAGGGUAAGAGUAAAAGCAAGGCAAGGAAAUAGGUAGAAGUGAUGAGAUUCUCAGUAUCUGGAUGCCAUUAGCCGAGGGAGCUGGAGCAUUGAUGGAAUCAUUCCCUGAGGCAGGCAGGGAAAAGGCUCUGUAGGAGAUCAGUUUAGCUUCAUGGUCCCACCUGCUGCAGAGGCCGUCCAGGCAGAAAUUCAAGUUAUGUUAAAUCUCUGAGACCCAUCCUCUAUGGGGGUCAUAAGCAGUCCGGCUCUGUCCUGUCAGAAAUCCCAGUCAUAUCCCUGAAGUUAAAUUUCCCCUAUAAAAUUUGUCUAUGACCCAUGCUAUCUUUGCUGAACCCCCUUUAGAUCAGCCUCAGGAUGUCUUUCCUUCACUCUUCCCCCAUGCUCCAUGUUGUCUUUCCUCUCAUCUUCCACUAUUCUCUCUUCUUAACACCCAUCAUGUCUUAUGGUGUCUUUCUCCUUUUUACAGCUGACUAACUCAUUUAGGGUGCUAAAUCUCUUUUAGGAUUUAGCCUGCUAACUAAGGGCAUGCUCCAAUCUUUUGGGGUAUUUCCUUUCUCCUAGCUAAUCGUAAGUUCCACUAGGAAACUCACUCUUUCUAUCAUUAACUAUUAAACCCCCUUUCCUAUGUGUUCUGCCACUCUAUUUCAUAUUUACCACUCCUGGUGUCUAUUGUAUCUCUUCAUUUUAUCUGUAACUCUUCUAAAUACACCCACCUUUUGCCAAAGAUAAUGGCCAUUGUGAAUUCUUCAUAUGAUCAAAACCCAACAUUUGGUGUUCUCUUAAAGCAUGUCACUCAGUACUUACCACCACAUUUGCCGCAUCACCCACAUCAGAAAUAAAGCAGAGGAAUCAGCAGGGAUAGGAAAUAAGAGAUAUACACGAACACAAUAAUGAUCAGAAGUAGAGUUAUUAGUAAAAGAAGCAAUGGUAGUAAUCAUUAUCUCAGACAAAGUUAAAGCCAAAAUAUAUUUAAUGAAGAGAAAAAUAGGGAAACUACCCUAUAUGUCAAUCAUUAAUCAAUAAAAAUUUAGACUUUUAAAAUAACUAGUUAGUAUAAGGUUGGAAUAUUGCUGUAGGUGUAGGAAAUGAUGAGGUGGUGGACUUAGAAAAAUAUGAAAAGACUUGAGCCUAAAAUGGAUGAUGCUAUCUUCCUUCAGAGAAACAGAAGACAAGGAAGCAUAAUAGAACUUUAUAUAGACGUAUAUGAAUAUAUGUAUAUGAAUGAUCAUAGAUAUCUCUGUAAAUGUAUGUGUGUAUAUGUACAAAUAUAUUCAUGCUUAAUUGUAGCCUUCUUUGGGAGAGCAAGUGGUAUGGGGGAGGAAAGGGAAAAAAAGGAUAAAGUAAAAAGUGCACAGCAGAGACCAAAGAAAAGCUAGAAGGAAACAAAGAAAUAAUGAAUAGCUCUGAACACAGUGUGUAGUAUUUAGCAUAGAGAUUUUCUUGAAAUAGAAAUUUAUUUUCUCUUGGAAUGGGAAAUGCCAUCUGCAUCCAGAGUGAGAACUAUAAAGACUGAAUGUAGAUUGAGGAAAAGUAUUUUCAUCUAUUGUUGUUGUUUUUGUUAGCUUUUUCUUUUUAUGGUUUGUUUUUCCCUUUUGUUCUGUUUUUUCUUGCACAAAUGACAAAUGUGGACUGUACAUGUAUAACCUAUAUCAAAUUGCUUGCUAUCUUGAGUAAGGGAGGGAGGUAAAAAAAAGUUUGGAACACAAAAUCUUACAAAAAAUGAGUGCUGAAAACUAUAUAUAUUUGGAAAAAUAAAAUACUAUUGAGGAAAAAA